Molecule: long non-coding RNA, 1432 nt
Organism: Sycon ciliatum
Lineage: Eukaryota; Metazoa; Porifera; Calcarea; Leucosolenida; Sycettidae
Exons: 3
Source: RefSeq, a predicted model, not a curated record
UUUAUGCAGCCGUUCGACGUCUGCUAGUUUAUUGAGGCACUGUAACGAUUUCAGCUGCUUUGAGUUUUUUUCUUCCUUGUCCCAAACUGCACUUGGCUUCACAAUGCUGUCUUCGUAUUGGAUAUUGUUUUCCAUGGCCAUAGCCGUACCAAUCCAGUGUCAGGGACAGUGUCCUGACAAAUACCAGCGCCUCGAGAUGAGGAUACAGGAGGUCGAAGCACAGCUAACGGCGCACAAAGAAAUGAACUCCAUUACAGCUAGUCGGUGCACUGCGGGAAUGGUGGGAAUCCAGUAUCAGAGUUUUCACAACCGUUGGAUGUUCAGGACAAAUGGUUUGAUUGCUACAAUUGCGUUCACCAAGAAGCAUAAUACCACCCUCCUGAAAUUGACGCACUCCUUUAACAUUGCAGUUUACGAGUCGUCGAGGUAUUCUAGGUGGUAUUUCCAGAUAGACGGAAAGGAAUGCGUUGUUCCCAGCCAAAUCGAUAUCGUAAGUUAUCACACCAACACUGGCUACCGCUAUUCACCGGCCGUACUAACUGGUAUCUGUGAAUCGACGGAUGUCAGUGGAGCGUUGCUCCCUGCGGGCAGUCACUCCAUCAGUGUAUUUAUAGGUCCUGUACUGCUGUUUACCGCUCCAACACCUCACAAUGUAUAUACCGGAUUAUAUUCCACCUCAUUCCUGGAAGUUCAGGAGAUAUGCCCCCCAUUUUGAUCCCCUGACGUGCCACUCGUAGCAUACGUUAAUGUAUUGUUAUCUUCUGCCACGAACAUGGCAAAAUACUCAAUGGAAAAUAUAUUCAUCCAGCCGUUGCUUAACUUUAGUAAAUCUGCGAAUCAUGCACUCACACCUACCUUUUGAAAGUGUGAAAUUUGUAGCUUGUUUUACUUCACACUCAUAAGUGAGGUGGAACACAAUUGUAUUUCAUGUCUAGAUUUUAAGCUUGCGCGAUCAUCAUACAAAAAACGUUCAUUUUUACUUGUUUGGAUGUCUCUGUUAACCAGUGUGGGGCUAGUCCUUUCAAAUCCCAACAUCAUCUUUUUGCAUCACUAGCCCUGAUCCUAUAGGCUAUAGAUAGGACUGUAUUCGCCUGCAUUAUUAUUGGGACAGGCUCGCGUUUACAGCACGAAUUGAAUAAUAGCAACACCAACAAUUAGAACAGAAACAAACUGUGACGGAUUCUUGCACACCUGAAGAGCCGUCUUUAUCUACUACACUAUAGUAUACGACGAGACGAUCGUCGUGUAAAACUGCUGCUUGUCACCGCUGCUUAUUGUCCAUAUAAACUGUCAUAGUCGAAGUACAGUACUGUUUUACUGAGGCGUUAGGCUUUGCAUGAUCCUCGCUCGCAUAGCUUCCCCUUAUAUUGAUCUUCGCAUCUUUGAGCCAAACAAGGGGCGUGGAACGUUGCUUUGCGUCCUUGAAUCGUGG